This is a non-coding RNA of Prunus mume (Japanese apricot), 1092 nucleotides long. NCBI's taxonomy places the organism in Eukaryota, Viridiplantae, Streptophyta, Magnoliopsida, Rosales, Rosaceae. The record is from RefSeq and is a predicted model, not a curated record.
UAGAACAAAAACCGUUCCUAUAAAUUGAUUCAUUUGGCAGUUUUUCCGCUCUCUGCGCACCAAUGGCUGAAGGUUUGAAGGACGACGCCAAACCCCAUCUAAUCUUCACCUACGGGACACUCAAACAAGGCUUCCACAACCACAAGCUAACGCAGGACCUUAUCAAUAACGACGACGCCGUUUUGUUAGGCCCCUACAUCACCCGCCAUUCUUACCCGCUCGUCUGUGGACCCUACGGAAUCCCCUACCUGAUCAACCUCCCCGGGUCCGGUCACCGGGUCAAGGGCGAGCUCUACUCCGUGUCGACCCGAGGACUCGCUCGACUUGACGAAUUGGAGGGCACGAGCAUCGGGCACUACGAGCGGCUACCUGUUGAUGUGAUGAAUGCCGACGACGACGUCGUUUCGGUGGAGGCUCAGGCGUAUUACGCGCACAGAAGCUUUGGGCCUGCGAUGUGGGAGAGAAAUGGGAAGGCGGGUUUGAGUGAGUUCACGGAGAAGGAGGCCAAAGGGUACGUGAAAAGACAAGAUAGGCCUUGCCAGGGUCGCGCCAUUCUUGAGGACGUCCGGCAUUUUGUGUCCGGAAUGUGAGGAAAAAGGCAGUUUCGGAAAGGUCAAUGUUUUCUUGCUCUGUUACAUUAAGUGCAAUUGUCACCGCAGUUGAAGAAGGCCUUGCCCGCAUCUGGUCCUUCGGUCCUAGUGAUGACACAUUUCCACCCUUCGCCACACCUACAAAAUGCCUUGCUGAUUCUAGAGUUGCCUCCGGCUGCUGCAACAGACCUGCACAAAUUUGAGGCAGUUAAUUUAAGUAUGAUCAAUGGAAUUGAGUGGCACAGUGCAUCUAAAACAACCAUUGAAUUGUCAGUACAACAUAAACACAACUUUAGCAUCUUCUUCUUCCCUUAUUAUUCUUGUAGUGAGAGGAAUGAAACCUGACUGAUUGCUCGCCACUGCUCUGAGCCUCCAUUUUCCUGAAUUUGUUGGACUUCUUUGAUCUUCUUGUUCGUCUUGAUGAGCUAUGGACCUUUCUUUGUAGGGCCAGUCGAAAUGUCAAGAAACCAUUGAUUGUGAAGACAAAACAAUUUUGUUUGUA